Molecule: ribosomal RNA, 518 nt
Filed under: uncultured bacterium
Lineage: Bacteria
Description: bacterial SSU rRNA
Rfam family: Bacterial small subunit ribosomal RNA
Source: RNAcentral
CGAACGCUGGCGGCGUGCCUAAUACAUGCAAGUCGAACGCACUCUCGUUUAGAUUGAAGGAGCUUGCUCCUGAUUGAUAAACAUUUGAGUGAGUGGCGGACGGGUGAGUAACACGUGGGUAACCUGCCCUAAAGUGGGGGAUAACAUUUGGAAACAGAUGCUAAUACCGCAUAAAACCUAACACCGCAUGGUGUAGGGUUGAAAGAUGGUUUCGGCUAUCACUUUAGGAUGGACCCGCGGUGCAUUAGUUAGUUGGUGGGGUAAAGGCUCACCAAGACCGUGAUGCAUAGCCGACCUGAGAGGGUAAUCGGCCACACUGGGACUGAGACACGGCCCAGACUCCUACGGGAGGCAGCAGUAGGGAAUCUUCCACAAUGGACGAAAGUCUGAUGGAGCAACGCCGCGUGAGUGAAGAAGGUUUUCGGAUCGUAAAACUCUGUUGUUGGAGAAGAAUGUAUCUGAUAGUAACUGAUCAGGUAGUGACGGUAUCCAACCAGAAAGCCACGGCUAACUACGUG